Molecule: unclassified non-coding RNA, 584 nt
Filed under: Arabidopsis thaliana (thale cress)
Lineage: Eukaryota; Viridiplantae; Streptophyta; Magnoliopsida; Brassicales; Brassicaceae
Description: partial MIR172a microRNA precursor transcript form 1
Source: RNAcentral
CUCUCUCAUCUGUGUUCUAGAUCUCACCAGGUCUUUCUCUGGUUAAUAUAUGGCUUCCAAGAUCUGGUAAUAUGUUAUAAAUACGUCAUACUUAAGCUUUUUUCAAAUCAAAAAUAGAAAUUUGUGGGUUUGUCUCGUUUUACUAUUUUAGCAGUAUAUAUUAAGAAGUUCAGAUGUUAUUCGAUCAUCUGUUUUUGCUUCCCCUCUGCCAUCUUUAUCUUUUAGGGUUUCAAUUCUUUUUCACUUUUUUCUUCUGGUUUGGAGAUGGUUAGGUUCCAACUAAGUAUACGAGAUUAAAUUUGACAUCUUAGUUACUUCAAAAUUCCUUCAAUCAAAACAAGUCAUCUCGACUAUUCCGCCAUGUUUGUAUAUACAUAUUUAUAUAUUAUAUAUAUGAAGGUACGAGUUUCUAGUGUCUAUAAAUUAAGAAGGUUAAGUACCAUAUAGAUGAUAUUUGUUAAGUAGUAAGUCACUCAAAGUUUGAGUUUGGGUUUGAGUUUGAGUUUGAGUUUGAGUUUGAGAGACAAAAGAUUACUACAAGAAGAUUGUUAAACAAAAAUGGAAGACUAAUUUCCGGAGCCACG